RNAcentral lists this ribosomal RNA (459 nucleotides) under uncultured bacterium. Its description in RNAcentral is "partial 16S ribosomal RNA". It matches the Rfam family "Bacterial small subunit ribosomal RNA", at positions 338 to 795 of the family's 1533-position model. The record is from RNAcentral.
CCUACGGGAGGCAGCAGUGAGGAAUAUUGGUCAAUGGGCGCGAGCCUGAACCAGCCAAGUCGCGUGAGGGAAGACGGUCCUAUGGAUUGUAAACCUCUUUUGUCGGGGAGCAAAAGACGCCACGUGUGGCGUUCCGAGAGUACCCGAAGAAAAAGCAUCGGCUAACUCCGUGCCAGCAGCCGCGGUAAUCCGGAGGAUGCGAGCGUUAUCCGGAUUUAUUGGGUUUAAAGGGUGCGCAGGCGGAAGAUCAAGUCAGCGGUAAAAUUGAGAGGCUCAACCUCUUCGAGCCGUUGAAACUGGUGUUCUUGAGUGAGUGAGAAGUAGGCGGAAUGCGUGGUGUAGCGGUGAAAUGCAUAGAUAUCACGCAGAACUCCGAUUGCGAAGGCAGCAUACCGGCGCUCAACUGACGCUCAUGCACGAAAGUGUGGGUAUCGAACAGGAUUAGAUACCCUUGAAGUC